This 2434-nucleotide long non-coding RNA is filed under the name Olea europaea subsp. europaea. The record is from RNAcentral. Lineage: Eukaryota; Viridiplantae; Streptophyta; Magnoliopsida; Lamiales; Oleaceae.
UUUUCAUUUCCCACAUUCUUUUCUCAUCCCUGCUGAAAUCCAAAUGCUUCAUUUCCCUUCUUUGCAAAUCCCUAACCCUAUUUCGUCUCUCACAGCAUCCCUACUAUGGCUUGGGCUUUCCAGAUCUCACAUGUUCAUUGAGAGGGCUUCUGCCUUCCGGUUUCAUUGCCACUCGCCGCUAGUUGCCUCCCUCCUACCUCUUUAUCCCAUUUCUAUAUUCGUCUAUUGCUUUCACGGUGUCAGUCCGAAUGUAUGUGGAAUUUUACCGCUCGCAGAUUAAGAAAAGUUCAACAUAAAAGUAAGUUAUCCAGUGUAUGCUUACUACUAACUGAGAGAAAAAGAAAUCAUGUGCUAAGAAACGUUUGAGUUGAAUUUAUGUGGAAGUUUUUCAGAGAUAAUCGGUGUCUGCAAAGAAAUUGGUAUCAUUUGGUGCAUCAGUUGUUCUAUUUGUGAUGAGCGAUGGGGCUUACGUGUUUAGUUGAUUUUGGAGGUCUAGUUGCUGGAACUAUUGCCCCCCAUUUAUGUUGACUUUCCUCUGAUGUAUUCGAUAUUUAUUUUUUUAAAAAUUUCCGUAAAUUCUCAACCUUCUUUCCCUCACAAUUGUCCCUUUUGCAUUUUUCUUUUUGGUUUCUUUUAUUCACAUAUUUAUAAUUUUGUUCCAAGAUGUAAUAAUUUCCAUCAUAAAUUAAUUUACGCGUACUUCUAUUUCAGAUAGGAAGUUCUUAACAUCUAAGCUGAUUGUUCCUUUAUAAUGAAAACUCUAAGCUGAUUGUUCCUUUAACAUCUAAGCUGAUUGUUCCAACAGCAUUCUGACAUCAGCAUAUGAAAGUAUUGAAUCUGAUAUUUUAUUGUGUUUUCUGUUUUAGCAGUUACAGUCAAUCCUUAUUUCACAUAUCGACCUGAAUACUAAUUUCCACUAGCCUUAGUAGAUUUUUGUUUAGUAUUGUUAUGUGGUUAGGCCUUCAAAUAUUUUGUCCAUCUCGUAUUUGUUCCAUCUUUCCCAUAUGACGACAUUGAUAUAUUGCUGAGGAUAUUCUCCAGUUGAGUUCCAGAUUUGAUUAAUUUCCAGAGUCACCAUUUACAGAGGACACUCACACCACUCUUUCAAGUUUUUAUGAAUUGCUUCCAUGCCCAGGUAUUUAGUUUUAUCCUUUCCUGAUCUUUUAUGCUAUUCAUUCUCAUAUGAUAAACUUUUGCUAACCUUGAAUACAUUCUUGAAUCAUGCGUAUCUAUUGAAAGGACAUCAAAAUGUUGCUGCAAUGAAUUAUGCAUAACUGGGUCAUAGAUAUGAAAACUCUGAUGGAUGUAGUGUUAUAUGUGGGGUUCAAACAGAACUUGAUUUGGCUAAAACUAUGAUGCUUUGCACAGGGUAACGGACUGUUGCCCUUUAUUUCUUUAAUACUUACCUUGCAAUUCUCAGUGUUGUAACGUUAAUACUAUCAACCACAAGGCUUGAAUCAUGCUAAUUAUCUACUUGGAAUGUAUAAUAGCAUCAAAAUGAUAGUUACUUCCAUGUUUGUAUUCAUCUGCUUUUUUGAAAUUUUUGCUAUGGCAUUGUCGUUUUCACUCGUCCUUUUUCCAUAUGACACUAGGUUGCAGUUUUUUUUUUCUCAUCCAUUAUAUUCUUAAAUUGAUUUUGGUUCUGUUUUGCAUUGUAUUGAAGACAAUGCAUUAGAUUUGUGUACUUCAACAUGACAUAAAUUUUUUAUUUUUUAUUUUUUGAAAUUUUAAUCAGUAUUAAAUUUGAAGACAAUGCAUUAGAUUUGUGCAUUAGAUUUGUGUACUUCAUCCAUUAUAUUAAUCAGUAUUUUUUUUUUUUAAAUUUUAAUUCAAAUUUUACGUGCUUGUAAAUCAGGUGUUAGUACUUAGCAUUGCAUUUAUAAUUUACAAUUCAGUCGCACUUACACUGUUGUUAUCAAUUGUCAUCUUUUUAUGUGUAAAAUAAAUUAUGGCCCUGUUUGGUAGGGAUUUUGAGAAUUGAUUUUUUGACCGUUAAAAGAAAAGUGGGGUCCACAUGUGAGAGAAGAAGUCAAAAAUUACGGCUUGAAUAGUAAAAUAACGGUCCAAAAAUCAAUUUUUUGGGGCAAAAAAUCCCUACCAAACGGGGCCUAAAAAGUUCUCUCUUACAAGAAGGUUACACGUAAUAUGUUAUUCCUUUUUCUCCCUCUGUGCAAUACAUUAUGGAGCGCGAGAACUUGUCGUGCAAUCUGACAUUGUUUCAGAUUAUGCAAUGUACUUGUUUGUGCAUACCGCAAUAGUACAUUUACUUUCUUUUAUCAUCUCUUGUUUCUAUAUUGGUUUUAUGUUGUGGUUUUCAGUUCAUAGAAAAUGGCUUAUGGUGAUGAUAUUCAGCCCCUUGUUUGUGACAAUGGAACUGGAAUGGUGAAGGUUCGUAAACAUUUUUAAAUUCUCUAGCCUUCUGUAUUCAAUUUAU